Molecule: unclassified non-coding RNA, 206 nt
Filed under: soil metagenome
Description: partial contains 5.8S ribosomal RNA, internal transcribed spacer 2, and large subunit ribosomal RNA
Source: RNAcentral
AACAAGGCGUACCUGCGGACCUGCGGAGGGAUCAUUACCGAGUUAUACAACUCAUCAACCCCUGUGAACUUACCUACAACGUUGCUUCGGCGGGAACAGACGGCCCCGUAAAACGGGCCGCCCCCGCCAGAGGACCCCUAACUCUGUUUUUAUAAUGUUUUUCUGAGUAAACAAGCAAAUAAAUUAAAACUUUCAACAAUGGAUCU